CCGCCGGCGACCGGCGCACGGGUGAGUAACACGUAUGCAACCUGGCCGGUGACAGAUGGAUAACCGGGAGAAAUCCCGCCUAAUACAACAUAAUGCCGGGAGGGGGACCAGUCCCCUGCCGGUCAAAGGGGCGACCCCGGUCAUGGAUGGGCAUGCGGCGCAUUAGGUAGUUGGUGGGGCAACGGCCCACCAAGCCGACGAUGCGUAGGGGUUCUGAGAGGAACGGUCCCCCACAUUGGAACUGAGACACGGUCCAAACUCCUACGGAAGGCAGCAG
RNAcentral lists this ribosomal RNA (277 nucleotides) under uncultured bacterium. RNAcentral describes it as "partial 16S ribosomal RNA". It matches the Rfam family "Bacterial small subunit ribosomal RNA", at positions 85 to 354 of the family's 1533-position model. The record is from RNAcentral.